UCAUUUUUUACUAAAUUCACAUUACGAAAUAAAUAUAUUUUUUUAACAGAAUAAAAAAAGACGAUAGAUUCUUAAAGUACAACUCUUCCUUUUCCCACUGAUCAUCAUUUUAAUUACUUUAUCUAUUUUUUUUUAAUAAAUACCGGCGUUUGAAAAAAAGGCAAAUUUUUACAAAAUUUUUUUGUUCCUUUCUCAUUUUUUUCAAAAAAUCGCGUUUCUUUUAAUGUUUUCGACUUUUCAGCCAAGACCAUUAUAAUUCUGAGAUUUUUUCCUUUUGAUAAAAAAAAAGUUAAAAUUGAUUAAAUACAUUUGGAGAUAUAAGUCAACAAAAUUUUGAGGUUAGCGUAACCCCUGUGCGUAGGAAUCGGGAGAAAAAUAAGGUGUGUAAGCAGAGGGUUAAAAUUACUUGAAAAAAUGAUAAAUGAAAAGUUGAUAUGGAUUGCCGAAAGAAAUAAAUGGAUGAACGAAACGCAAAAUGGUUUCAGAAAGCGAAGAUCAUGCAUAGACGACCUGACGAAACUAAUAGCACACUUACAAUUGGCUAAAGAAAGAGAUACAAAUACUAUAGUAGUUUUCCUUGAUAUAAGAUCUGCAUAUGAUAACGUUAAGGCCCACAUACUAAAUAAGAUAUUAUUGGAGAAAGAGUGCCCCAAGAAAAUAAGAAAAUUCAUUAUGAAAUGGAUGAUAGAAAGACGGACAAAAUUUAUUAUAGAUGCAAAAGAAACCAUAGAAAGAACAAUCAACAAAGGACUCCCGCAAGGAGGCGUUCUAAGCCCCAUCCUUUACAACAUCUACACUGCAAAUAUAACAAGAAACCUUAACAAAGAAAUACAAGUACUACAAUAUGCUGAUGAUAUUGCAAUUACAUAUAGCAACGACGAUCUAAUAAAAUAUCAAAAAAGAAUAGAGAAAGCUAUUGAUACUUUAAAUGAAAAUCUAAAACAAGUAGGCUUGAACUUAGAAUCUGCUAAAACUAAUUUUAUGCUAUUUAACAACAAGAGAAAGAAACGUAAGCAAAUAAGCAUAAAAAUAAGUAACUUGAGAAUUAGAAAUACUAGAAUAUUCAAAUUCCUGGCCGUAACAUUCGAUGAAGAGCUAAACUUUGAAGACUAUCUAUUGGAAAUUUAAAGGAAGACCAAUAAAGUAAUCCAAAGAAUGAGAUACGUGAAUAGAGUAAAUUGGGGUAUGGAUGUAAAUACGGCACUAAUAAUAUAUAAGAGUUAUGUAAGAGCUACCAUGGAAUAUGCAAUAAAUAUUGUAUACCCCAGACUACAGAAAGAUAGAAAAAUAGAAAAGUUACAGAAUAAAGCAUUAAGAAUUGCCAUGAGAUAUAGGAACAGUACUCCCAUAAAUGUAAUGCUGGCUGAAUCUAAAUUAAUAUAAAUGGUAGAGAGGGCAGAACUUCUAGCAAGAAAUUACUAUACUAAAAUAUGUAAUUACCAAAACAGAGACUUAAAAAACUUACUCAAUAGACUAUACAUAAUCAUCGCCAGAAAUAGAUUUAGAACUAUAACCAAAAAAAGAUUUUUAUUCUUGGAUAGUGGGAGAAGUCAAGAAUCAUAAGGAUAAAUUUCAGGAAAAAAGACACCUCCCAAUCUUUGAUUGUGACUACUGGGCUCUAACUAACAAGACAAUAAUAGAUCUUGAAAUAGGAAAGAAGAAAAAGAAGACCACUGAUAUGUCGGAUGAUACCAUCAUGAACAAAUUUAAAAACAAAUACAACCUGAAUCAAAACUUUCAGAUUAUAUUUACGGUCGGUUCUAAAAAGGAAAAUGGAAAAAGCACGGGGGUGGCCAUAGUACUAGAUAACAUGGAAACUGUGUAUACAAUAAGCAUAUAUGACCACUGUUCAAUAUACACAGCAGAGAUGCUGGCCAUAGAAAAAGUUCUAUGGCCAUAGACUUAGAAAUCAAAAAGGACCUACUUAUUCUGUCAGAUUCACAUAGCGCUUGUGAAGAACUAGCCAACCUUCUUAACGGUCAUAAACACGAAUACGCAGUAAAACUUAAAGAAAAGAUACAAAAGUAUAGAGAAGACGGGAGAAAUAUCAGGUUAUCAUUGGCUGGAUACCUAGCCACAAAGGUAUAAAAGGAAAUGAGUUUGCAGACAGUCUAGCAAAAGAAGCUACAAAGGAAAAAACGGAUACAAGAAUAAAAAUUCCAGAAAACGACUGGAAAAAUGUAAAUAGGAUGAAUAUGACCAACAAAACAAAAGAAAAAAUCAUCUCGGAAGCUAACUACAAAGGUAAGCUGUAUUUCAAGAAGUGUAUUACGAAGAAAGUGCUAAACCCUGGUUCAAUAAAAUCAAGGAAGAGAGAGGCUUCAUCAAUAUGAUAAAUAGGUUGAGAGUCAACCAUUACAAUUUAAAUGAAUCUCUGAGUAGGCAAGAAUAUACAAAAAACCCAAGGUGCGACUGUGGAGCCGAAAAUAGAACAUCCAACACGUGGCUUUCCAAUGUAGUAAAUAUGACGAUCUCAGAAACAAUAUGUAUAGACAGUUAACAACCAUCAAGGAAAGAUACCCCUACGAUAUAGAGAUGUGGCCGAGGCAACUCAAGUUAGAGACCUUGAAAAUACUAUGGCUUUUUAUCAAGUAAACGGGCAAAAUGAUAUAAACCUGAUAAUACAGCCUUCAAACGAAAUCAACGAGAAGGAGUAUCUACAUAGCCAUAAAUACGUGGAGGCUGAUGAACACUAAAUACCCAUACAAAAAAAAUUACACGCAAGCUGACGCGUGGCGCGAGCGAGCCACUGGCGACCUACGUGACAUUAUACACAGUGCUAUAAUGUAGAGACCCUUUAAUAAGUGUGCUUUCCAGCAAGACACAGUGUAACACAGUGUCCAUUAGUGUGAGAAAGAACAUAUCAGUGUGUCUCACUCACAUUAGUGGACACUGUGUUACACUGUGUCUUGCAAGAAAGCACACUAACAAUAAGAGUCUAGCCAUCAUACAUAUCGUGUGCUUUCCAGAAGGACACAAUGUAACACAGUGUCCAUUAGUGUGAGAAAGAACAUAUUAGAGUGUGUCUCACUCACCCUAGUGGACACUGUGUUACAUUGUGUAUUUCUGGAAAGCAUAUCAAUAUCUUGAUUUGAAGCAUUGUGAUUGGUCCGCCAUUUUUUUCUUUAAUGGCGUAGUAAUAUUACGUGAUGUCGUCAAGUAUCAGUUGCAUCAGCUUUUCUCAGCAAUUCGUACUGUAUGUGAUCGUACUGUGAUAAAAAGAAAAUAAUAAAAGCAAAAUAUUCUUAAUAAUAAUAUUUUCUACAAGAUAAUUUUUAGAUUGAGAUUAUUAGGUAAGUACUUUUAAUGUCACACUAUUAUAAAAUAUCUUUAAACUUAAUUAAUUAAUAUAACCUUACUUUUAAGACUACAUUUACAAGCACCGUUUGCUUACACUGGUUUAAUAACAACCGUAAUUAGUAGAACUCUUGUAUUUAAUUAGAGUAUAUUUUUAGAUCUAAAAUAAAACACUAAUCGGAUAGAAGAGUUCACUAUGGUUGUUACUAAAGCAGUGCGUGAAAACGUAGUCUAUGUUAAACUUACUGUAACAUCUGUAACUAAGAAUUAUUUGUAACCAAAACUUGAUAGAGCAAAAUUAAAUAAACUAAUAAUAGUUUAUCUAAUAAUAAAUGUUUUUACAGAUUUAUUAUUGUUUAUAUAUCAUUUAUUAAAUUAUUGAGUAUUUCAGCAACAUGACUGCUUGUACAGCUCCUGACUGUACAAAUUUCAAUAAUAAAGGAUUUAUUAUGAAAAUUUUCCCCCGAGAUCCGACUCGGCAUGCUCAAUGGGCAGCAAAUGUUAGCAAAGAAGACUAAACACCUACAGCCGGAUCAUUUCUGUGUGAAGUUCAUUGCUCACACAAUAUGUAGGAAAAUAAACGAGCUGACGGAAAAAGAAAGCUGAAAGUAAAUGCUGUGCUGACAAUAUUUAGAAGCGAAGCAAAGAUGAUUAAAAGUUACCAUGAAAACAUCAAUGCUUCACUAAAUGACGUGGGUUGUGUUACGAAUGAUUUGUCAUGAGUGCAAAGUGAAAAGGUCGAAAAUGAAAAAGAAAGUAAUAAUUGCAAUGAUGAGGAUGAACUACAAUUGGAAAGUGCUGAACGUAAAAAGGAUAAUAGAGAACUUAAAAACAUGUCACGUAUAAUAAAAAAGCAAACAAAUUAUAUGUGGGCAAGCACGUAUAAUUAAAAAUCAGAAUGUCAAAGUAGUAAAAUAUAAAAAAUGCGUGCUUAUUGCACGACGUGACUUAAAGGCAUUAAAAUUGAAAAUAAAACAAAAUAUUGUUGCGAGUGUGUUCUCGUGCACGUGAGCGCGAGCUUUAGGCUGAAAUCACAUGGUGCGGAAUAGAGCUGCGGAAUAGAAAGUGCGUCAUAGAAGCAACCGAGCUAUUCCGCAUUUUCUGUUCCGCAAAUGUUUGACCGGCCUGUUCCCAUGGUGCGUCAUAGACGGGCAAUGAUGCAUCCGGAAUGAAAAUUAUAGAUGUAAUACAACUUUUAAAAUAAAUCAAACGUUUUUAUAAAAUGUAAUAUUUGUAAUAGCAAUAAUAAUCAUUAAUAUAAUAUUAUAUGAAAUUUUGUAUUGAAUAUUAAAAAGUUGAAAAUAAUAUUUUUAAAUUUUUGAACUGCAUUGACGCAUUCUUGGUCAUUUUUUCUGCACUAUGUGAACAGGCCGGUCAAAGAUUUGCGGAAUGCGUGAUGCGUGAUGUAGCCUUGGUCGUACACCAUGCAAUAUUGUUAACCUUUUUUGCUAAAACUUUGUUUUUGUCAGAAAAUAGUAAAGGUUAUGAAUAUGGAAAAUAAAAUAGUGAUGAUUCAAGAGUCUAUUAAAGUUUUAAUGAGAGUAUACAUGAGAAGAACUCCAAUGCUCCGGUAUCAAAAGGAAAAAAUCAGAUUUGCUUUAGUAAAAUUAUGGCUAUUAUAUACAAAAUUGUCAAAGCAGAAAUCCAAGAGAAGGAUGUGGGUCAGGCCUAUUUAUUCAAUUGAGCAGCGUUUCUCUCAAGGAGAUAGUGACAAUUUAGUUAAUAUGUUACGAAUGACAGAUCCUUCUCUAUAUUUUAAUUAUUUAAGAAUGGAUGUUAGCAUCUUUGAAGAUCUACUAUUAAUAGUAGGUCCCGGAAUUGAAAAACAAUUAAAUAUUAGAGAACCAAUUGCUUCAUACACAAGACUGCAAAUAUGCUUAAGGUAUUUAGCAAGUGGAGAUAGCAUGAAGUCUAUUGGAUAUGCUUUUCGAGUCGCACCAAAUACUGUCUCAAAAAUAAUUCAUUCAACUGUUACUUGGUUAUGGCUACAAUUGCAACGAAUUCUAUGACGCUAUGACGCAACGACGCCAAUGACGCGAACGCUUGCAAAAAAGGUUAUAGACACUGCGGCAAAGCUCUGAUUGGCUGCGUCUAUGACGCACGUUUUAUUCCGCAGCUCUAUUCCGCACCAUGUGAUUUCAACCUUAGUCUGCGCUCCGGAAAAAUCAAUAGUAUCGAUUGCCUCGGUCAGCUGAGCUUAGAGUAAACAGCGUUGCCGAGGAGUUGUAAACAAAUGAAUGGUUGUUGUUCUAGAGACGUCGUCUCGUGUGGACGUAUUCUGAAUAUUUGUAAACGUGUUCGCAGUUUUAAUAAAGUUCCUUGUUUGCCAAAAGCGUGUUUUUAUUCCGCCGCGCUCACGUAUGGAAGUGAAGGUGUCGCGGAAGCGUUCAAGCGCAACAAUAUUAAUGCAGCUCUGUUAAACAAGCUACAAGAAACUUCACUAACGAUCAAAUUAACAGCUUUAAAAAAACAAUAGAAGAGUACAGAAGUGGACCAACGAAACAAUUAUAAAAGCACUUUGAUUAAGAUUUUCUUGUGGCAUUACCGAUUAUGAAGAACUCCGUCGCCAGAAAUUUCCUUUGCCAGGACUUCAAACAUUGAAAAGAAAAUUGGAAAAUUUUAAAUUUGAAAGCGGAAUUUCAGACAAUAUUCAAAUUUUUUAAACUGAAGGUAUCAAAUUGAAACAAAAUUGAUAAAGAAUAUUGUCUAGUAUUCGAUGAAAUCAGCAUUUCAUCAGGGAAUAUUUUCGAUAAUUCCUCUCAAAGUUACAUUGGUAAUGUAACUUUGCCAGGACACACAGAGCCAAAUCAAUUGAUCUCACCGUAAAUUUGAUUACUUCCGAUAUGGGAUCUGGCAAUCAGGCUUUGUAGAAAACAUUAGGGAUAACAGCAGGAAGACAUCCCAGAAUAGUAAAUUACAUCACACAUCUAUGUGACAUUAAUCAUAAUUUGUAUGUUAUCGCGGAUGUACCGCACCUACUAAAAAUUUGAAAGCAUGUCUUCUAAAUAAGUUCCUCAUGAUACUUAAAAAUAUUGUACGUAAAUAUAAUUUGCACAACAAAUAUAAUACAAGCAAAACAUUUCGAAGAAUUAAUUUUAACGCAAAAAGAAUUUCAGUUUUUAUUAACGCCAAAUUAAGUAUAAGCGAUAUCGAUACUAAUAAUAAUUUUGCUAAAAUGCGUGUCAAUAAAAUGAAAAAUUUAUUGAGUGAGCACUGCUUUGGAGCUUUUAGCCGAUGAAAAUUCAGCACCAGAAUACAUUACUACAGCAUUUUUUAUCAAAAUAAUAGUAAAAUGUUAUACGGUUAUGACUUUAAAGCACUGCAGCAUUUCUUUGAGUACAAAAGAUUUGGCGAAAUAUAAAAAUACUGUUUCUUUUUUAAAUAAAGUUAUAGACAUAUUUACUAAUCUUCAUGAUGGUAACAAAGGAGAUUUUAACCUGUUCAAAAAAGAGUGAUUAUUUUAACUAAAUCUAUUUUAGAAUUGGCAGAUUAUCUCUUUCGUGAAAGAAAAUUUCAAUUCUUAUUGAUAGGUAGACUUAUGCCAGACUGUGUAGAGAAUCUUUUUUCUGUUUUUCGAAUCAAAAAUGUUACUUUAAAUGCUUUACAAUUUAAGAAUAAUCUUAAAUUAAUUGCCAUUUCUUUGUAUAUGCGUUCAGUUUCUCGAGGUAAUUACAAAGAAGACGAUGCGCAAUAUGUAACAGGUUUAUUAGAUGUAAUUGGCGAACAUAAAUCUGAGUUUCGUAAUAAAUAUAGCCCGGAUUUUCCAACGGCCGUUGGGCAAAUCUGAGUCGACCGUAGUACGUUCCUCACGGCUCUCCCUACUUCGACCGUAGGCGGGAGCGCACCAUCGCUCCCCACCAUCACGCGCUUCCGCCCGCUCCUCUCCGACUCGAACGCGUAAAGUGGGAAGAGCUAGCUACGGUCGACGCGAUUUCAGAACUUUAAUCCGGGCUCUAGUAAUGAAUGAAAUGCUGAUCUGUCGUACCUGCAGAUCUUUCCGUCUGAGCCUGCAGCUCAGAAAGAAUUAAACUUUAUAAAAGAAUUGAACUCUAUAGAAAGUAAUUUUUUAUAUAGUAUCGCAGAAUACAUUGUAACAAGCAUUUAAAAAAUACUAAACUAUGUCAGCAUUGCAUUCAAAGUGUAGGUUCCACACAUCGAAAUUUGUCAAAACAUGCGAGAUGAGUUUGAUUGCGAAGUUAUAAAGACAAUACUCUUUUUUUUGUAAACAAUGAAGCAUUUGAAUUAUUUAAAAAAAUGGAGUAUAUAUUUAGGCAGCAUCAAAAAUCUACAUGCAAUAACAAUAGCGGUUAUAACAACCUUUUAGUUGAUAAAUUUUGAAAUAUUUUAAGCAAUAGUUAUAUUUUGUUCUGUCAUAAUUUAUAUAGAAAAAUAGCAAAUAGAUAUGCAAUUUAUAGAAUGAGGACCGCAAACAGAAAAAAAGAUUAUUAAACGUAAAUACGACAAAUCGAUGGCAAUGCAUAGUGCAAUAAAAUAACACAAAUUGUGAAAAUUUUAUUUAAUUUUCUACUUAAUCAUCGAAUGGUUAAACUUUUUACGUUACACUUGUCUUUCGCUACUAUUUACACGUUAUACAUUGUACACUAGAUAUUAAAAAAUAAUGUUAUUAAUAAAAA
Molecule: long non-coding RNA, 7931 nt
Organism: Monomorium pharaonis (pharaoh ant)
Lineage: Eukaryota; Metazoa; Arthropoda; Insecta; Hymenoptera; Formicidae
Exons: 4
Source: RefSeq, a predicted model, not a curated record